UGUAUUGAUGCGACAGAGAACUGCAGAGCACAGUGACUUGUUCUGCCAAUGACCUGGAGGUGGGUCUGUACCCACAGGACUCCUAACUCCUACCCACCGGGUAACCACCACUUUCAGAAAGAACAUCCUCUCUGCCAUGCUGCCGUUUCUUUGUUCAGAUGUGUUUUACGUGUUUAUCUUCCGUUGCAUCUUUCCUUCUGAUCUACGUAGGAAGAACGUGACAUGGUGCAUUGUCCUAGUUCCCUUUGUACCAUGGUGACAGGGACACCCAGCAGAAGAAUUUAGGAGAGGAAGUCAACCAUGAUGUGGCUGAGUCGGUUUCACCAAUCUCGAUGCAUAAUGUUCUGCUCAAGCAUCUGGGGCCAAGAAAUGAUGAACUUCUGAAACCAUGACCGAAAUUAGCCUUUCCUCUUCUGUCUCUGUCAGCCAUCAUUAUGUACAGUAAUGCUGUCACAAGAAGAGUAAACAAGAAACCUUCUUAGCUCAGAACUGCUUACCACAGCCCUCUCACAGGCUUGUCUUCACUCACUGGCCUUUGCUUCUUUUCCCAUGUUGUCUCUGUUGCGCACCGGGAAAGGGUGUUUAGAUAGUAAUAGAAUCCCAUUUGUAUUGCCUCUCUUUUAACUCCUAGUGAUGGGUAGAGGCUUGGAAUAUUUUUAAAGAGACCUCUAAGAUUCAAAGGAAUAAAAAUCCUCAUUGUAGAAUUGCAUCUUCUAGGCCAAACAGGUAAUAUAAUGAAAAGAGGAAUACUCUCUUACCUUUCAGUAACGCCAUUUUGGAAGAAGCCCAUUGUCCUAGACAUUAAGAGGCAUCAGUAUUUAUUCUGCCAUCAGUAUAAACUCAUGAUGUUGACUGUCCUACCUAGCCUCUCUGAAUCUGUGUUUCUAGAACUUCACAGUGGGUUUAAGAUCUCCAACUCAUAUAAAAAAUACCUCUUAAGAUAAGACAUUGGACAAAUAUUAGUGACUACAAUUUGAUAUUUAUGAACAUGUGGAAUAUUAGGUUUAUAAUAAGAUGACUUAGUUACCAUUCUCAGUAGGUAUUUUUGAGAGAGAAGAAAGUGAAGACUGUAGAGACUACUGGGAUAAUAGCAAUUAUCCAGGGAAAAACCUGUAUCUUUGG
Molecule: long non-coding RNA, 1122 nt
Organism: Mus musculus (house mouse)
Lineage: Eukaryota; Metazoa; Chordata; Mammalia; Rodentia; Muridae
Product: predicted gene, 33332
Exons: 5
Source: RefSeq, a predicted model, not a curated record